AGUCACUGACAUUAGAUACCCUGUAGUCCAGGGUGUAAACGCUGCAGACUUGGUGUUGGAAGCCCUUUGGGGGCAUUCAGUGCCGGAGAGAAGUUGUUAAGUCUGCUACUUGGGGAGUACGUCCGCAAGGAUGAAACUUAAAGGAAUUGGCGGGGGAGCACCGCAACGGGAGGAGCGUGCGGUUUAAUUGGAUUCAACACCGUAAAACUCACCAGGGAAGACUGUUACAUGAAGGCCGAGAUGAAGACUCUGCUAGAUUUUCAG
Molecule: ribosomal RNA, 264 nt
Filed under: uncultured archaeon
Lineage: Archaea
Description: partial 16S ribosomal RNA
Rfam family: Archaeal small subunit ribosomal RNA
Source: RNAcentral